UACAGAUGUCUCAAGCGUUGUUCGGAUUCAUUGGGCGUAAAGGGUGUGUAGGUGGCGCGCUAAGUCGGGUGUGAAAUUUCGGAGCUUAACUCCGAAACUGCAUUCGAUACUGGCGUGCUUGAGGACUGGAGAGGAGACUGGAAUUCAUGGUGUAGCAAUGAAAUGCGUAGAGAUCAUGAGGAAGACCAGUGGCGAAGGCGGGUCUCUGGACAGUUCCUGACACUGAGACACGAAGGCCAGGGGAGCAAACGGG
This 253-nucleotide ribosomal RNA is filed under the name uncultured bacterium. RNAcentral's name for it is "partial 16S ribosomal RNA". It matches the Rfam family "Bacterial small subunit ribosomal RNA", at positions 524 to 776 of the family's 1533-position model. The record is from RNAcentral.